CCUACGGGUGGCAGCAGUGAGGAAUAUUGGUCAAUGGACGAAAGUCUGAACCAGCCAAGUCGCGUGAAGGAUGACUGCCCCAUGGGUUGUAAACUUCUUUUAUAAAGGAAUAAAACGAGGCACGUGUGCCUUUUUGCGUGUACUUUAUGAAUAAGCAUCGGCUAACUCCGUGCCAGCAGCCGCGGUAAUACGGAGGAUCCGAGCGUUAUCCGGAUUUAUUGGGGUUAAAGGGAGCGUAGAUGGGUUGUUAAGUCAGGUGGGAAAGUUCGGGGCUCAACCCUAAAAUUGCAAUUGAGACUGGCAGUCUUGAGUUCAUGUGAGGGAGGCGGAAUUCGUAGUGUAGCGGUGAAAUGCGUAGAUAUUACGAAGAACCCCGAAUGCGAAGGCAGCUUA
RNAcentral lists this ribosomal RNA (393 nucleotides) under uncultured bacterium. RNAcentral's name for it is "partial 16S ribosomal RNA". It matches the Rfam family "Bacterial small subunit ribosomal RNA", at positions 338 to 728 of the family's 1533-position model. The record is from RNAcentral.